UCUCCGUUGGUGAACCAGCGGAGGGAUCAUUACAGAGUUAUCUAACUCCCAAACCCAUGUGAACUUACCUUUGUUGCCUCGGCGGACCUACCCUGUAGCCAGCUACCCUGUAGCGACCUACCCUGUAGCCCGCCGGCGGACAUCUAAACUCUUGUUAUUCUAUGGAUAUCUGAGCGUCUUAUUUAAUAAGUUAAAACUUUCAACAACGGAUCUCUUGGUUCGGGCAUCGAUGAAGAACGCAGC
RNAcentral lists this unclassified non-coding RNA (243 nucleotides) under uncultured fungus. Its description in RNAcentral is "sequence contains ITS1, 5.8S rRNA gene". The stretch from base 195 to 243 matches the Rfam family "5.8S ribosomal RNA", at positions 1 to 49 of the family's 154-position model. Lineage: Eukaryota; Fungi. The record is from RNAcentral.